UCGGAUCGAUGAUGACUCCCUCUAAAGCAUUCCUUGGAAAUCUGAACAAAAUGAGUGAGAACUCACUACCGUCUCCUCAUCGAAACUGAGGUCCG
Molecule: small nucleolar RNA, 95 nt
Filed under: Sus scrofa (pig)
Lineage: Eukaryota; Metazoa; Chordata; Mammalia; Artiodactyla; Suidae
Description: pSNORD115-23
Rfam family: Small nucleolar RNA SNORD116
About the family: HBII-85 is a member of the C/D class of snoRNAs, which contain the C (UGAUGA) and D (CUGA) box motifs. HBII-85 is encoded in a tandemly repeated array with another C/D snoRNA, HBII-52, in the Prader-Willi syndrome (PWS) region of chromosome 15. Unlike most other snoRNAs, HBII-85 is expressed prevalently in the brain (but is absent in PWS patients) and lacks any significant complementarity with ribosomal RNA.
Source: RNAcentral